AGCCACCUUCGGGUGGUGGAAAGUGGCAGACGGGUGAGUAACGCGUGGGAACGUGCCUUUCGGUUCGGGAUAACCCAGGGAAACUUGGGCUAAUACCGGAUACGCCCUUCGGGGGAAAGAUUCAUUGCCGAAAGAUCGGCCCACGUCGGAUUAGCUAGUUGGUGGGGUAAAAGCCUACCAAGGCGACGAUCCGUAGCUGGUCUGAGAGGAUGAUCAGCCACACUGGGACUGAGACACGGCCCAGACUCCUACGGGAGGCAGCAGUGGGGAAUAUUGCACAAUGGGCGAAAGCCUGAUGCAGCCAUGCCGCGUGGGUGAAGAAGGCCUUAGGG
Molecule: ribosomal RNA, 332 nt
Filed under: uncultured bacterium
Lineage: Bacteria
Description: bacterial SSU rRNA
Rfam family: Bacterial small subunit ribosomal RNA
Source: RNAcentral